CUGGCUCAGGACGAACGCUGGCGGCGUGCUUAACACAUGCAAGUCGAACGCUGAAGCACCAGCUUGCUGGUGUGGAUGAGUGGCGAACGGGUGAGUAAUACGUGAGUAACCUGCCCUUGACUCUGGGAUAAGCCCGGGAAACUGGGUCUAAUACUGGAUGCUACAUGUCACCGCAUGGUGGUGUGUGGAAAGGGUUUACUGGUCUUGGAUGGGCUCACGGCCUAUCAGCUUGUUGGUGAGGUAAUGGCUCACCAAGGCGACGACGGGUAGCCGGCCUGAGAGGGUGACCGGCCACACUGGGACUGAGACACGGCCCAGACUCCUACGGGAGGCAGCAGUGGGGAAUAUUGCACAAUGGGCGAAAGCCUGAUGCAGCGACGCCGCGUGAGGGAUGACGGCCUUCGGGUUGUAAACCUCUUUCAGCAGGGAAGAAGC
Molecule: ribosomal RNA, 435 nt
Filed under: Kocuria palustris
Lineage: Bacteria; Bacillati; Actinomycetota; Actinomycetes; Micrococcales; Micrococcaceae
Description: bacterial SSU rRNA
Rfam family: Bacterial small subunit ribosomal RNA
Source: RNAcentral